GACAGAGGGUGCAAACGUUGUUCGGAUUUACUGGGCGUAAAGCGCGUGUAGGCGGUUGCCCAAGUCGGGGGUGAAAGCCUUGAGCUCAACUCAAGAAAUGCACUCGGUACUGGGUGACUAGAGGACCGGAGAGGAUAGUGGAAUUCCCAGUGUAGUGGUGAAAUACGUAGAGAUUGGGAAGAACACCAGUGGCGAAGGCGGCUAUCUGGACGGUUUCUGACGCUAAGACGCGAAAGCGUGGGGAGCAAACAGG
RNAcentral lists this ribosomal RNA (253 nucleotides) under uncultured bacterium. RNAcentral describes it as "partial 16S ribosomal RNA". It matches the Rfam family "Bacterial small subunit ribosomal RNA", at positions 524 to 776 of the family's 1533-position model. The record is from RNAcentral.